Salmo salar (Atlantic salmon) is the source of this 54-nucleotide non-coding RNA. The record is from Rfam. NCBI's taxonomy places the organism in Eukaryota, Metazoa, Chordata, Actinopteri, Salmoniformes, Salmonidae.
AACUUUCAAGAAUGUAAGUCGCUCUGGAUAAGAGCGUCUGCUAAAUGACGUAAA